ACCCAGGAGGGGUCUGUGUCAUGUGUUUCUCGUGGCCCCGCCAACCCAGGAAGAGUGGUCGUUAAGAGCAUGUUGGAUUCUGUGGGACUCGGAAGAGGUGCCUGAACUUCCCUGUGCUUUUGAAGUCAAGGGACUCCUCCCAGUGAUUAGGAGCAGUGGAACCGUCCGGAUCCUGCCCUUGGUCCAUGCCUUUGGCCUUUGGUCAUGUAGUGGCGGCCCUUUGGGCUCUGCCAUUUGUGUUUCAGAUCAUCAGUUCUGCUAUGUGAAUGGGCAGGACUCUCCAUCGCCUUGGCAAGACAAGGUGCUCCUCGUCCAGGAAGUGUUAGGAGUCCUAGGAGCCAGUUCCUCCCAUGGGAUGUGGGCUCCGGAUGGAGGACAGAGUCUCUUCAGGGCCCUCCUGGGCUACUGAAAUGGUCCAAGAAAACCCUUCAAGUUGACUUCCCUUCUCUAAUAUUCAAUUUUCUUGUCCAUCCAGUGGAAGAGUUGGAGUUGAUACUUGAUCCAUUUCAGCUCUAACUUACUAAAGUCUGUGAUGGCUCUGGACCUUCACGUUUCAGGACCAGGCCUGGUCCUUCUCAGCUCUCACACUGAAGCCUCAGAACCAGCCUCACUUGGAGGGUGGUCUUCAGCUCCCAGCCAAAAGCCUCGCUUGAACCUCCUCACACUUCAAAGACAAGGAUGGUACCCGCAUGCCACUCAGCCCUUGGAAGGGAGAAACAGUUUGGCAAAGGCCACAGAAUGGACCUCGUCUCCUUACACCGAGCCCAGGGCUCCAUUCAGCAGCCACCUUUCCACCCCCACCCCCAUCUCCUCCCCUCACCCCGAUAUGCAUCUACAUGGCUGCAAACAAGAGCAGCCAAGUGUAGGACCUCCACCCACUGCCAUCAGCAGACACUCAAGUGGACAGGCUGGACUGGAGAACAAGAACAAGAAAGAUCCCUCGGUGUCUGCAAUGGCUCAAACUUGAAAAGACAGAGCCUUCUCCAAACAUUUACAUUUCUGCCAGGCGAAGAUUCAUGGGACUCUGAAUCCCAAAAUAUACAGGUUUUCAUGGGAAGAUUCAAAGGGGAUCCUGCUCAUUUUGUGACAAUUUAAUCAGUCUUGCCAAUGUCACUGAAGAACAAGAGACUAAAGUGCCUGUUGUGGCUCAGCAGAAACAAACCCAACUGGUAUCCAUGAGGACGCAGGUUCAAUCUCUGGUCUUGUUCAGUGGGUUAAGGAUCCACCGUUGCCAUGAGGUGUGGUGUAGGUCACAGACCUGGCUUGGAUCUGGUGUGGCUGUGGCUGUGAUGGAAGCUGGCAGCUGCAGCUCUGAUUCAGCCCCUACCCUGGGCACUUCCAUAUGCCACAGGUGAGGUCCUAAAAAGCAAAAAAAGAAAAAAGUAAAAAGCAUCUUUGCCAGACCCACGUGGGUUUUAUUUCUGGGAUCCUACAUGUAUCAGUUUAAUAAAUUCACGAACAACGUUUGGUUGGAGUUGAAU
RNAcentral lists this long non-coding RNA (1481 nucleotides) under Sus scrofa (pig). RNAcentral's name for it is "lncRNA (ENSSSCG00030026065.1)". The record is from RNAcentral. Lineage: Eukaryota; Metazoa; Chordata; Mammalia; Artiodactyla; Suidae.